Entelurus aequoreus (snake pipefish) is the source of this 1237-nucleotide long non-coding RNA. RefSeq lists it as uncharacterized. The record is from RefSeq and is a predicted model, not a curated record. NCBI's taxonomy places the organism in Eukaryota, Metazoa, Chordata, Actinopteri, Syngnathiformes, Syngnathidae. The transcript has 6 exons.
AACUGGUCUGGAUGAAAAUAGAAUCACGUUGUGCGACAGUUUAUUCCUUUAAAGUGCGGUAAGGCGGUCUUUGGCAGCCCACAUGGGAUUUGUUUUGAUGUUGGACCCUGGUACAGUACAUUCUAAAAGUACAAUUACCAAAAACACCAAAUAAUGGGAACAAGAGCAAAAAAGUUCGUGGCCCUCUGUGGAACACCUUUUGGACAGCCCUGCUUCAAGUCGAUUCAGGAACUGUUGGGAAACUUGACCAGGGUCUCUUAGAGAAUGAUCAGCAGCAGAUCCUGUUUAGCCACCAUGGCUCCGGCCACACUAGGCUUGGGUGCACUUUGUGAACGGGCUCCAUGUUUGGGGCUCCCCCUGGACCCGGUUCUUGCUUUACACCCAAGGACAGUGGGUGCUGCGGUACCUAACUCAGUGUUGGUGGAAUCUGAGACAGCCACUGGCGUAACCGGACUUACCAGAUCUGGCGGUGGAGUCUGUUUGCUCUGGUUGUUGUUUCCUGCUGCAGGUGGAGCCGCUGUGGAUCUUGCUGGUCUCGGCUUAAACUGAUGCAUCAUGGGAUUCUGCGGUAUUGAUGCAACGGCCUGUAUCUCAACAAAAAAAACAACAUUUUGGCCGAGUAAUAAAAAUAGGAGAAAAUACAAGAUGCCCAGAGAGAUAUAUAUAUAGAAAACAUUCCAGUUCAGCGGACACAUCCUCUAAUUCUCUCAUCAGCAGCUGCAAAAGGGAAAAAGUCAACAUCAGAUUAAAGAGCCAAGGCUGACCCAGUGUGCCAGAGUGCACGUGGGGGCGUGCACGUGCGCCGACAAAAGCUCCCUCUAACCUACAUUUGAGUCCGACGGCAGGCAGCAGUGUGGAGGUCAGAUGAAGGAAAAUACGUGCAGCUGGAUCAGGAGGGGAUGAUCAUGCAGCUGAGCAGUAUAAUUGAGCAACAAAAACAAGGCAUAUGUUGGGGUUUUUUGUCAUCUAAAGUUGAUACAAAAUGCUGAUGUAGUGCAUUGACCUGAUCAUUGGAAUUUACAACAAGAACAUUCAUGCAAAGAUACAAUAAAAUGUUUUGCCGUGUCCUAUUGAUAUAAUCCAGCUGUUACAUCCUGUAUAUGCCAGUAUUACAAACGUAAUAAUCAACAGAAGUUGACAUACACAUCACGGGCAUCCAUGUCGAGUUGGGAUUUCUGUCUAUGGUUUCAUUCAAGUCCUCAACUGACUCGGUAUCUGGAAUCCUUUCCUCCAGACU